ACCCACGUGGUGAAAUUGGUAAACACACCACUUUGAGGGAGUGGUAUCCUCUAAUAAUGGAUAUGCUGGUUCGAGUCCAGUCGUGGGUACAA
Molecule: transfer RNA, 92 nt
Filed under: Blattabacterium punctulatus
Lineage: Bacteria; Pseudomonadati; Bacteroidota; Flavobacteriia; Flavobacteriales; Blattabacteriaceae
Description: tRNA-Leu
Rfam family: tRNA
About the family: Transfer RNA (tRNA) molecules are approximately 80 nucleotides in length.
Source: RNAcentral